AAAAGGUAAAGAUAGUGAGACAUGCCCUGAAUAAUAGUGAAGUCUCCUAGACCCCAAACCUUUGUUUUGGAGACAGGUCUCAUUCUGUCACCCCAGCUGGAGUGCAGUGGUUCAGUCUCAGCUCACUGCAACCUCCGUCUACCAGGCUCAUGUGAUCCUCUCACCUCAGCCUCUCAAGUAGUUGUUGACUGCAGGCACAUGCCACCAUAUGCAGCUAAAUUUUUCUGUAUUUUUUGUAGAGAUGGAUGUUGUUUUCACCACGUAAAACAACAUGUUUUCACCAUGUUGCCCAGGCUGGUCUCGAACUCCUGAGUUCAAGCGAUCCACCCACUUGGCCUCCCAAACUGCUCGAAUUACAGGCAUCAGCCACCACACCCGGCAAACCCCAAAUCUUAAACUUUUUUGGUAUGUUUUGCAGAAGCUAUACCAUCUUCAGAUUUACUAAGAGAAACUAAGGUCUUUGAAAGCCAGAUAUCUUAAAUAUUAAAAUCUUGAGAGGGAAAAAACAUGACUACUAAAGAUUUUUUUUUGCAAGUAACAGAAUCCUUUCUGUGAUGAAAUGUCUGCUAACUGAAGCUUAAACUGUUUAUAUGUGUUACCGUCCAAAUCUUUGCAGUAUUGUUUAUCAAGCAAAUAAGCGUAUCAGUCUGCGUAACCAAAGUUGUUCUGAAAAUGAUCAAAGAAUAAGGCAGCAUUCUUAUAACACAAAAGGGCUUUGGUGAAUUCUGGGUUCUAAGAAAGAAAAUUAUUUGGGGCUUUAUUCACUGCUAAUCAUUCUAUCAAAUCCUAUUUCUGAUUUUUCUUAUUUGGGAGAAGCAGACUUUAAGAUCUCAGGAGACAUGAAGCACUGGCACUUAGUACCUCUUUGGACUUUUGGCUAAUAUUAGUUCAUUAAGACUUACUUUCUCUACUUACAAUAAAGAGGAUAAUAAUUCAUACAGAUUGUGAAGAUUAGGAUAACACAAUUUGUUAAAUACAAUGCCUAGAACAGCACCUGGCACACAGUAGUUGUCUUAUUCUCUCGAGAUCAAGGAACUGUUUCAGUAGUGAAGAGAAUAUAAAGGAGGAUUGAGCCCUGGAUGAGAGAGUCAGCCAAAUUAUUAAGUUUCCUCUAACCCUGAGGCCCUUUGAGUCAAUAUGUGGUUAAUUACAUCCUUUUAAGGAAGGUUCUUUUGCUAAUCAAUUCCUGAAAGAAAUCUAAGCAUUUUUUUUCCAGAAGAAAUUUAGUCUUGCAUCACAUUAAGGUUUCUGUGAGACUGAGCAUCAGUAGCAGCAUUUGAAAAAUAGCUGGAUUAAGGCCAGUGUGCACUGCGAAUAAAAUCUCCAAAUACGGCAUGUCAUAUACAGUGCUUCUCAACCUUAUUUGAAUACAGCAUACCUAUUAACAGCCAUGGAAUUUGUAGAUUCGUUUGGGAAACACCAAUCACUAUUCUCAGAUGGUAUAUUUCAUUUUCAUUGAGAACUUUCUUAAUUUAAGGAGGUGGAAAUAAGAGUUAAAAUCAAGAAAUCGUAAUCCCUUAAAUCCUUGAAGAAGACCUAAGAGCUUUUCUCCAGCCUCUCCUACCCCAAGAGAUGCUUAUACCACCUCUGUUUGAAUGUUUCUGUUAUGGGCAGCUCACAGCCAGCUUUGUGAGUUGAUGUUUUUUUCUAUACUGAGCAAAAUAUCUGUCACCUGCUAGUUUCCAGUUAUCUGUACCACCAUUCAUCUCUCUUCCAUGCAAUAACACUUUUAUGUAUUUGAAGGAAAUCAUUAGUUUUCUAGUUUUAUAUCCAAGAGAAAAACCCUCCAAAUCCUUCACCUGUUUCUCUAUUAUGAUUUCUGUAUCCUUUCACCAUUCCAGUUGCUGUCUUUUGGACAUCCUUUAUUUGGUCAGCAUCCCUCUUGAAACAACCGAUAUUAGAACAUAGCACCUCACAUACCCCCCAGCCAGUAGAGAACGUCUAUGUUUACACUAUUACCUUUUUCCUGAAAUACGCAUCCUUCUUUUAAUGCAGUUUAGCAAUUACAUCUUCUCAUUAAUUCAUAUGAGAAGUCAAGAUCAAUCUCAUUUCUUAAAAAAAAAAAAAAAAAAAAGUUGUUUUCCCACUCUGUUCCCCAAAAAGCAGAAUCCACAUUUUUGGUAAUUGACUAGACUGUAGAAAUUUUGUAGUUACAUGAACUCCUGUAUUUAUACAUGAGUACUGAAUCUAUACACCUAAUUUUUUUCUUAAGUUAUAUAACACAAUUAGUAUUACAACAGUAAAUAGGAGAAAAAUGUUAAUGGCAAGAACAGUCACACCACCACCAUCUUAACACAUUUAUUUCUUACUUAUUUUUUUCAUUGUCCUUUUCUUAUCUGAUGAGAAAUAAAACUCAACAGGUAGAAAAUCAAACGUUCUGAUGAAGUUAAAGUCCUUUACGUCUAUAGCAGUUCCCCGGUUUUCAAUCAUGUUAGAAAAAAAAGCUUACCAAUCAUGUUAGAAAAAAAAAAGCUUAAGUUGAUAUAAUUUUGUGUUAGAAGGUCCAUGUUGUCUUUAGCUUACCAGUCAUGUUAGGAAAAAAAAAAAAGCUUAGGUUAAUAUAAUUUUGUGUUAGAAAGUCGAUGUUGUCUCCAGAGAUUUACUUCAUGCUUGUAUAAACAUGUACAAAUGUCUAAUGUUUCUUUAAAAUUCUAUACAAAAUUAACAUACUGCUUUCUAGUCUGCAAUUUACAAAUCCCAGUUUAUCUCCUGAAAAAGUUUACUCAUUAUUUACCUUUUCUGACCGUUUAUGCUUAAACAGUCUGGUUUCUACCUUACUAUUCAUAAUUUCUCAAAAGGGCAGAUUCACGUAACAUGGUGAGUCAUAAUUCUGGUCCUGGAGACUCAAUCCAGGACCAUUUAAGAAGGCCAACCACUUAGUCAUCACAUCAACUUCUGAGCUAUCCUGAACCUCAGUGUUCUCUUCACCUUGUUCCACUUGCUAUAGUUUGUUCACUAUUCUCUUUACUGAAGAGAGUGAUAGAUAACAUAGGUAUUGUGAACCCCUAUUUUCUUGCUAUCCACUAUAACAUGAAAUUAGUUUCUGUAAGUUGUAGACAUGUCUCCAUAUUUUGAAAGUAUAGGUUGAAUAUCCCAAAUCUGAAAAUCCAAGAUCCCAAGUGAUCUACUAAAAUUUGAAACUUUUUGAUCAUUAAAUGUUGCUCAAAAGAAAUGCCAUUGGAUGGCUGGGUGUGAUAACUCACACUUGUAAUCCCAGCACUUUGGGAGGCUGAGGUGAAUGGAUCACUUGAGGCCAGGAGUUCAAGACCAGCCUUGCCAACAUGGUGAAACCCAUCUCUACUAAAAAUACAAAGCAUUAUCUGGGCAUGGCGGUGGAUGCCUGUAAUCUCAGCUACUCAGGAGGCUGAGGCAGGAAAAUUUUCUGAACCUGGGAGGCAGAGAUUGCAGUGAGCUCAGAUUGCCACUGCACUUCAGCCUGGGCAACAAAUAAAACUCUGUCUCAAGCUUCUUCUCCAAUAAAACACCAAAUGGCGGAUGACGCCGCUGCAGCCGGGGUGCCCAGAGGCCCCGGGGGACCCCGGGAUGGGGAACCGCAGAGGUUUCAGCAGUGGCAUCCGGGGCUGGGGUCGUGGUCAUGGACGGAGCUGGGGCUGAGGCCGCGGAGCUCGCAGAGGCAAAGCCAAGGAUAAGGAAUGGAUGCCUGUCACUAAGUUGGGCCGCCUGGUCAAAGACAUGAAGAUUAAAUCUCUGGAGGAGAUCUAUCUCUUCUCUCUGCCCAUCAAGGAAUCUGAGAUCAUUGACUUUUUCCUGGGGGCCUCUCUCAAGGAUGAGGUUUUGAAGAUUAUGCCGGUGCAGAAGCAGACCCGUGCUGGCCAGCACACUAGGUUCAAGGCAUUUGUUGCUAUUGGGGACCACAAUGGUCACGUCGGUCUGGGUGUUAAGUGUUCCAAGGAGGUGGCCACCGCUAUCCAUGGGGCCAUGAUCCUGGCCAAGCUCUCCAUUGUCCCCAUGCGCAGAGGCUACUGGGGGAACAAGAUUGGCAAGCCCCACACUGUCCCUUGCAAGGUGAAAGGCCGCUGUGGUUCUGUGCUGGUGUAUCUCAUCCCCAUGCCCAGGGGUACUGGCAUCGUCUCAGCACCUGUGCCCAAGAAGCUGCUUAUGAUGGUUGGUGUUGAUGACUGCUACACCUCAGCUAGGGGCUGCACUGCCACCUUGGGCAACUUUGCCAAGGCCACCUUUGAUGCCAUCUCUAAGACUUACAGCUACCUGACCCCUGAUCUCUGGAAGGAGACUGUGUUCACCAAGUCUCCCUAUCAGGAAUUCACUGACCACCUUGUAAAGACCCACACCAGAGUCUCCAUGCAGAGGACCCAAGCUCCAGCUGUGGCUACAACAUAGGG
Non-coding RNA from Callithrix jacchus (white-tufted-ear marmoset), 4361 nucleotides. The record is from RefSeq and is a predicted model, not a curated record. NCBI's taxonomy places the organism in Eukaryota, Metazoa, Chordata, Mammalia, Primates, Cebidae.